Molecule: long non-coding RNA, 293 nt
Filed under: Physcomitrium patens
Lineage: Eukaryota; Viridiplantae; Streptophyta; Bryopsida; Funariales; Funariaceae
Description: long non-coding RNA (PPAT_LNC011688)
Source: RNAcentral
AAAGAAAUCUUUCAUCUCAUACUUGAUACUAUCACAAUAUAUGCAUUUCUUAACAAAUCUCUUUGAUCCUUCUAAUGCAUGCAAAGAAAUAAUUCUUUGGCUCUUCUUCAAUCUACUCAUCUCCACUCUUAAUUCUUUCAUGUAUUAAAUCAAUUCUUGAAGGAUUUCUUUGAAAAGAAUCUUACACGUCUCUUGAAUUGGAGUAGAUGUCACCAAACUUGAUAGAGUGAUUGACAUCAUAGGUGACAGCGCUUCAUACUUUAAAGUCUUUUUUUUAUCUUUAUUUUCUAUUU